UGGGGAAUAUUGCACAAUGGGCGAAAGCCUGAUGCAGCGACGCCGCGUGAGGGAUGACGGCCUUCGGGUUGUAAACCUCUUUCAGCAGGGACGAAGCGCAAGUGACGGUACCUGCAGAAGAAGCACCGGCUACUACGUGC
This 140-nucleotide ribosomal RNA is filed under the name uncultured bacterium. Its description in RNAcentral is "partial 16S ribosomal RNA". It matches the Rfam family "Bacterial small subunit ribosomal RNA", at positions 355 to 508 of the family's 1533-position model. The record is from RNAcentral.